RNAcentral lists this ribosomal RNA (496 nucleotides) under uncultured bacterium. RNAcentral describes it as "partial 16S ribosomal RNA". It matches the Rfam family "Bacterial small subunit ribosomal RNA", at positions 28 to 507 of the family's 1533-position model. The record is from RNAcentral.
GAUGAACGCUGGCGGCGUGCCUAAUACAUGCAAGUCGAGCGAACAGACGAGGAGCUUGCUCCUCUGACGUUAGCGGCGGACGGGUGAGUAACACGUGGAUAACCUACCUAUAAGACUGGGAUAACUUCGGGAAACCGGAGCUAAUACCGGAUAAUAUAUUGAACCGCAUGGUUCAAUAGUGAAAGACGGUUUUGCUGUCACUUAUAGAUGGAUCCGCGCCGCAUUAGCUAGUUGGUAAGGUAACGGCUUACCAAGGCAACGAUGCGUAGCCGACCUGAGAGGGUGUAGGCCCACUGAGAAGCUGAGAGACGAUCCAGGGACCGACGGGAGGCAGCAGUAGGGACGCGUCCGCACUGUGCGAAAGCCUGACGGAGCAACGCCGCGUGAGUGAUGAAGGGCUUCGGAUCGUAAAACGCUGUUAUGAGUGAAGAACAAAUGUGUAAGUAACUAUGCACGUCUUGACGGUACCUAUCAGAAAGCCACGGCUAACUACGUG